AACGCACAUUGCGCCCGCUAGUAUUCUGGCGGGCAUGCCUGUUCGAGCGUCAUUUCAACCAUCAAGCGCCUGCGCUUGUGUUGGAGCCCUGCGGCUGCCGCAGGCUCCCAAACCCAGUGGCGGGCUCGUCGUCGUACCGAGUGCAGUAAACUUACCACGCUCAGGGCACGCGACGGGUGACCGGCCGUAAAACCCCCCCCUUCUCAAGGUUGACCUCGGAUCAGGUAGGAAUACCCGCUGAACUUAA
RNAcentral lists this unclassified non-coding RNA (247 nucleotides) under uncultured fungus. RNAcentral describes it as "sequence contains ITS2". RNAcentral also lists the same sequence under 1 other name. The record is from RNAcentral. Lineage: Eukaryota; Fungi.